This 441-nucleotide ribosomal RNA is filed under the name uncultured bacterium. RNAcentral's name for it is "partial 16S ribosomal RNA". It matches the Rfam family "Bacterial small subunit ribosomal RNA", at positions 338 to 795 of the family's 1533-position model. The record is from RNAcentral.
CCUACGGGAGACAGCAGUGGGGAAUAUUGCACAAUGGGGGAAACCCUGAUGCAGCGACGCCGCGUGGGUGACGAAGUAUUUCGGUAUGUAAAGCCCUAUCAGCAGGGAAGAAGAUGACAGUACCUGACCAAGAAGCCCCGGCUAACUACGUGCCAGCAGCCGCGGUAAUACGUAGGGGGCAAGCGUUAUCCGGAUUUACUGGGUGUAAAGGGAGCGUAGGUGGCAUGGCAAGCCAGAAGUGAAAACCCGGGGCUUAACCCCGCGGAUUGCUUUUGGAACCGUCAGGCUGGAGUGCAGGAGGGGCAGGCGGAAUUCCUGGUGUAGCGGUGAAAUGCGUAGAUAUCAGGAGGAACACCGGUGGCGAAGGCGGCCUGCUGGACUGUAACUGACACUGAGGCUCGAAAGCGUGGGGAGCAAACAGGAUUAGAUACCCUGGUAGUC